This is a non-coding RNA of Microcebus murinus (gray mouse lemur), 367 nucleotides long. The record is from the annotation of a RefSeq genome assembly. NCBI's taxonomy places the organism in Eukaryota, Metazoa, Chordata, Mammalia, Primates, Cheirogaleidae.
CUCAGUCCAACUUCUCAAAAUGAGGCUCCCUGCUCAGCUCCUGGGGCUGCUGGUGCUCUGGGUCCCUGGAUCCAGUGGUGAUGUUGUGAUGACCCAGACUCCCCUGUCCCUGCCUGUCACCCCUGGAGAGUCGGUCUCCAUCACCUGCAGGGCUAGUCAGAGCCUCCAAGACAGUGAUGGAAACACCUAUUUGAAUUGGUUCCUGCAGAAGCAAGGCCAACCUCCAAGGCGCCUGAUUCAUAAGUGGGGAUGCUGUGAUGACCCAGACACCACAGUCCCUGCUGGUCACCCCUGGGGAGCCGCCUCCAUCUCCUGCAGCGCUGGUCAGAGCCUCCUGCAUAGCGAUGGAAACACCUAUUGGAAUUGA